Molecule: ribosomal RNA, 253 nt
Filed under: uncultured bacterium
Lineage: Bacteria
Description: partial 16S ribosomal RNA
Rfam family: Bacterial small subunit ribosomal RNA
Source: RNAcentral
UACGUAGGGUGCGAGCGUUAAUCGGAAUUACUGGGCGUAAAGCGUGCGCAGGCGGCUUUGCAAGACAGAUGUGAAAUCCCCGGGCUCAACCUGGGAACUGCAUUUGUGACUGCAAGGCUAGAGUACGGCAGAGGGGGAUGGAAUUCCGCGUGUAGCAGUGAAAUGCGUAGAUAUGCGGAGGAACACCAAUGUCGAAGGCAAUCCCCUGGGCCUGUACUGACGCUCAUGCACGAAAGCGUGGGGAGCAAACAGG